GACGAACGCUGGCGGCGUGCUUAACACAUGCAAGUCGAACGGAUAGGCCCUGCUUUCGUGUGGUGUUCGAGUGGCGAACGUGUGAGUAACACGGGAGUAACCUGCCCUGGGCGUUGGGAUAACUGGAGGAAACUGGUGCUAAUACCGGAUAGGAGCUCCUGCUGCAUGGUGGGGGUUGGAAAGUUUCGGUGGUUGGGGAUGGAUUCGCGGCUUAUCAGCUGGUGGGUGGGGUAGUGGCUUACGGAGGGUUUGAUGGGUAGCCGGCCUGAGAGGGUGACCAGCGACAAUGGUACUGCGAUACGGAGCAGUGUGCAACGGGGGGCAGCAGUGGGGAGUAUUGUGCAAUGGGCGGAAGUCUGAUGAAGCAACGCCGCGUGCGGGAUGACGGCCUUCGUGUUGGAAACGGCAUUAGGCUGUGACGAAGCGUGAGUGACGGUAAUGGCUGAAGAAGCACCGGCUAACUACGUG
Molecule: ribosomal RNA, 468 nt
Filed under: uncultured bacterium
Lineage: Bacteria
Description: partial 16S ribosomal RNA
Rfam family: Bacterial small subunit ribosomal RNA
Source: RNAcentral